Molecule: ribosomal RNA, 274 nt
Filed under: uncultured bacterium
Lineage: Bacteria
Description: partial 16S ribosomal RNA
Rfam family: Bacterial small subunit ribosomal RNA
Source: RNAcentral
AUACGAAAGGUGCAAGCGUUGUUCGGAUUUACUGGGCGUAAAGAGAGUGUAGGUUGUUUAUUAAGUCGGAUGUGAAAUCCCGGGGCUCAACCUCGGAACUGCAUUCGAUACUGGUAGACUAGAGUUCGGGAGGGGUAAGCGGAAUUCCGUGUGUAGCAGUGAAAUGCGUAGAUAUACGGAGGAACACCUGAGGAGAAGGCGGCUUACUGGACCGAUACUGACACUGAGACUCGAAAGCGUGGGUAGCAAACAGGAUUAGAAACCCUAGUAGUCC